AAGGAAAAAGUUUCAAAGAUGCCUUAUAGAAGCUAAAACGAAAUUGUUUGAGAUGGAACAAAACAUGUGUUUGAUGGAUUAAGAUAUGGGGAAAAAUCACAAAGGAGCUUACUGGCAAAUCAGAUUGUUGGUGUAAAUUCUAAAUUGCUUCAACAGGCAUUGCAAAAUAUAGAGAUGCCCUCCAAGAGACAAGAAGACUCGUCAUGAUCUUCCAAAUGUCUUCAAGAAAU
Molecule: unclassified non-coding RNA, 230 nt
Filed under: Hevea brasiliensis (rubber tree)
Lineage: Eukaryota; Viridiplantae; Streptophyta; Magnoliopsida; Malpighiales; Euphorbiaceae
Source: RNAcentral